UACGGCGGGCGCAAGCGUUGUUCGGAAGCACUGGGCGUAAAGCGCGUGUAGGCGGCUUGGCAAGUCGGGGGUGAAAGCCCGGGGCCUAACCCCGGAACUGCAUUCGAAACUGCCUCGCUCGAGUCCCGGAGAGGAUGGUGGAAUUCCAGGUGUAGUGGUGAAAUACGUAGAUAUCGGGAGGAACACCAGCGGCGAAGGCGGCCAUCUGGACGGUGGCUGACGCGGAGACGAGAAAGCGUGGGGAGCAAACAGG
RNAcentral lists this ribosomal RNA (253 nucleotides) under uncultured bacterium. RNAcentral's name for it is "partial 16S ribosomal RNA". It matches the Rfam family "Bacterial small subunit ribosomal RNA", at positions 524 to 776 of the family's 1533-position model. The record is from RNAcentral.